Zingiber officinale is the source of this 3149-nucleotide RNA transcript. It is a transcript of the gene named choline/ethanolaminephosphotransferase 1-like, with no coding region annotated. The transcript has 18 exons. The record is from RefSeq and is a predicted model, not a curated record. NCBI's taxonomy places the organism in Eukaryota, Viridiplantae, Streptophyta, Magnoliopsida, Zingiberales, Zingiberaceae.
AAGCGCCUUCCACAAGUCGUGGUUGUUGCUUGUUGGUUCCCUCUGCAGAUCCAUCUCCCAGAUCGUAGAAUGCCGCGACUUCAGGAGAGAGCUCCUUCCUUCGCUUGAGGCGCGUGUUGUCUUCCCGUCUUCUCGUUCCAAUCCCAAGAUUCGAUCUGCUAUUUUCAUUCAGACGAUGUACUUUUGGAUAGUCAAACUGUGAAACUCGGUUGUCUGGUGUGCGCUGGAUCUGGUUCUUGGUGUAAGAUUGUUAAGAGGAAGGAGGAUCGGCUUCUUGUUGGAUAGAAAAUGGGGUACAUUGGGCACCAUGGAGUGGCAACGCUGCAUAGAUAUAAAUACAGUGGCGUGGAUAACUCGCUAGUUGCCAAGUAUGUGUUGCAGCCGUUUUGGAGUCGCUGCGUCGCGCUUUUCCCUCUCUGGAUGCCGCCAAACCUGAUUACUCUCACAGGACUUAUGUUCUUAGUUAUAUCAGCACUUCUUGGCUAUAUUUAUUCACCUCGUCUAGACGCAGCUCCACCAAGAUGGGUUCACCUUGCUCAUGGAUUGCUUCUAUUCUUAUACCAGACUUUUGAUGCUGUAGACGGUAAACAAGCAAGGCGGACCAAUUCAUCAAGUCCAUUGGGAGAACUUUUUGAUCAUGGUUGUGAUGCACUGACAUGUGCUUUUGAAGCCUUGGCUUUUGGGAGCACCGCAAUGUGUGGUGGAACUACUUUUUGGUUUUGGGUUAUUGCAGCUGUACCUUUUUAUUUCGCAACAUGGGAGCACUUCUUUACAAAUACCCUUAUUCUUCCAAUAUUCAAUGGACCUACAGAAGGCCUCAUGUUGAUAUAUGUUUGUCAUUGGAUUACAUUCUUUUUGGGAGCUGAAUGGUGGGCAGAGGAUUUCAGAAAAUCUAUUCCUCUCAUGGAUUGGGUGCCAUUUGAUAGCAAGAUUCCUACUUAUGGAGUUGUGUUGUUCAUUAUGAUUAUUUUUGCUGUAAUUCCGACUAUUAGCUCCAACAUUAGUAAUGUCAACAAGGUUGUUCGAGCAAGAAAAGGAAGCAUGUUGUUAGCACUAGCAAUGGUCUAUCCUUUUGGUGUGCUAAUGGCAGGAGUUCUUGUCUGGUGGUACUUGUCCCCUUCAGAUGUUAUGCGUGAGCAUCCACAUUUGCUUAUAGUUGGAACUGGAUUUGCUUUUGGCUUUCUUGUGGGGAGGAUGAUUCUUGCACACCUAUGUGAUGAACCCAAGGGUUUGAAGACUGGAAUGUGCAUGUCUCUGCUGUUUCUUCCUCUUGCUAUUGCAAAUGCUCUAACUGCCAAGCUCAAUGAUGGAGAACCUCUAGUAGAUGAGUACAUUGUCCUCCUUGUGUAUUGCUUGUUCACAGGUAAUUUACUGUAUCUAUAUUCAGAUUACCAAAACAACCCUAUAAUGUGUUUGGUUCAUAGGCAUACCUAUUUUAUUUCCUAUGAAUUUACAUGGAAUAAAUAUAUUUCUAUUUUUCAUUUCAAAAAUGAGAUUGGAAUUUACUGAUUCCAAUGGAACAUAGAUUCCCUAUUUUUUUAUUUUUAGUUAUUGCUUACCUAUUCAAAGAAAUAACUAUUUCUCGUUUAUCCAUUCUCCAAAGAUGCUUAUUCUUUUUUUAUUCCAUUUUCCUAAGAAUGUAUUAUGAGCCAAUAAAGUUGAGCGGUUGGGACGACUCAAUUGGUCUGGCUGACGAAUGAGCAAUAAUGAUUGUACAGGCUAGUCAAGUAAGCUGGGGCAGUUGAGUAAAUUGCUUUGGACCGAAUGGAUUGAGCCAGCUUGAUAAGCUAGUCGGGCUCAUAUGAUCAGCUGGGCUGGGUAAUCUAGAUUGCUCAGCUGGAUGAACCAAUCAAGAUAGGCGGGUUGAAUGCAUCAAACCAAUGAGUUGAAUUAGGCUACGUGGUUGGAUGCAUUGUGAGGGUUGAUGAUUUGGAUACAACAGUUGGUUGAGCAUGCCAAAUGCAUUGGUUGAGUGGCACACUAGUUGAGCUGAGAGGAUUAAACAAACUAAACUAGUUGAGUGGGUUGAACAGUAGUGAGUAAAUGCUUAGGUUGAGCGAGUUAGGCAACUAAUAUAGUCUUUUAGGUGAUUGAAUGUGUUGGUUGGAUCUGAUGGAUCAGCAAUCCAGGCAUCUCGGAUGGGCUAUGUAGAUUUGUUGAGCUAACUUUGGUCAAGUCGAGAUUGAUCAGGCUUUGUAGGCUCCACAGGUUGAAGAACUGAGAUACCUAGGCUGGUUGGUUUAUUGGGUCAAGCAAGAUAAUGCAAGCUAAAUGAGUUGAAUAAAAAUAUUUCAUAUUGGGGGCAAAUGUAGCGUCAGAAUUGAAAAAAAAUCCAUCUAUUUGAUUUCAUGAACUAAAAAAUAGAUAUUCCUAUUUUCUUUUCAAUUUCAUUUUUCAUAGAAUCGCUUAUUUGUUCCUUAUCAAUUUCAUACGAAAUCAAAUUCACCAUUAAUGUACUCUUGGAAGCCAGAAAUAUCUUGGAUUCUCUUGGUCCAGCUAAGAUCUUGCUAGUAUAAAUUCACAAUGGCUAGAAUUAUAUUUUCCACUGUCUAAUAUCCACAGGAGGUGGAUCAACAACUUUUUUUUCACAAAGUUAUAUACAACUAAGAAUUGUAAUGAUCUAACAGUUAGAUCAUGUGACAAAGUUGCUUCCUCUUAAAAUUGAUACUUACAUUCUGUACGGCCUCUUUUUUUUUUCUUAGUCUUUUUUUGUAGCUUGCUUUCUUUGUUGUUUGAACCCUUUUAUUUAACAACAGUGGGACUCUACCUGCAUUUUGCCACGUCCGUUAUCCAUGAGAUAACCACAGCUCUGGGCAUUCUCUGCUUCAGGAUAACCAGGAAAGAGGCCUGAGAAAGGGUCUUCAUUUGCUGUUCUUUGUGCGUUUUUUAUUGUUGGAUUAUUGGCAUUGGCAAGGCAGCAAGCACUACAAAAUCCAUUUGUUGUGAUAUAUGAACUUUCCCGUUGUAUUAAAUCAAUCCGUGUGGGAAAUCCUUUCUUGUGAAAGAAAACGACAUUAGCAGUUUAAGAUGAGAAACUGUUGCAAUUAUAGAUUUGCGUGCAGAAUGUUUGAAAUUGCAGCACCAUCAUGUUGGCAGAAUGGAAUUUAUAUAAUUCUAAAACAAACUACAAUUGGAUUACCAUUUUACUA